This 492-nucleotide ribosomal RNA is filed under the name uncultured bacterium. Its description in RNAcentral is "partial 16S ribosomal RNA". It matches the Rfam family "Bacterial small subunit ribosomal RNA", at positions 29 to 507 of the family's 1533-position model. The record is from RNAcentral.
AGUGAACGCUGGCGGUAGGCCUAACACAUGCAAGUCGAACGGCAGCACAGUAAGAGCUUGCUCUUACGGGUGGCGAGUGGCGGACGAGUGAGGAAUACAUCGGAAUCUACUUUUUCGUGGGGGAUAACGUAGGGAAACUUACGCUAAUACCGCAUACGACCUACGGGUGAAAGCAGGGGAUCUUCGGACCUUGCGCGAUUGAAUGAGCCGAUGUCGGAUUAGCUAGUUGGCGGGGUAAAGGCCCACCAAGGCGACGAUCCGUAGCUGGUCUGAGAGGAUGAUCAGCCACGCUGGAACUGAGACACGGUCCAGACUCCUACGGGAGGCAGCAGUGGGGAAUAUUGGACAAUGGGCGCAAGCCUGAUCCAGCCAUACCGCGUGGGUGAAGAAGGCCUUCGCGUUGUGAAGCCAUUUUGUUGGGAAAGAAAAGCAGCAGGUUAGUACCCCGCUGUUGUGACGGUACCAAAAGAAUAAGCACCGGCUCACUUCGUG